Molecule: ribosomal RNA, 345 nt
Filed under: Triticum aestivum (bread wheat)
Lineage: Eukaryota; Viridiplantae; Streptophyta; Magnoliopsida; Poales; Poaceae
Description: partial small subunit ribosomal RNA
Source: RNAcentral
AUGAAUUCAUGGUCUUCGGGGCUACGGUACUUGGCGGGUCAUCAUGUAGAUGUACUUUCAAGAGGAACUUGGCGCGUCCAAAAAUCUUCGGGGUUUGUCGUUGGACUUGGUGGUGCUAGUCUCCUCGGUUCAACUGUGAUAUGCAAAGGCCAAAACAACAGGCAACUUGGGCGGCUCCUCAAGGCCAUAGAGAUAACAGGCAGCAGGAGGCUGCUGGUGGAGGCAGAAGCACGACGAGGAGGUCCUACUCCGUCAGCUGCAAGUGGUGGGCGAAACGUAGGCAGCAGCAAGGCUGGAGCAGGGGAGUUGCCGCGUGAUGCGAGAACUUGGCGAUGCAGGGUUUGA